This is a non-coding RNA of Odocoileus virginianus texanus, 149 nucleotides long. NCBI's taxonomy places the organism in Eukaryota, Metazoa, Chordata, Mammalia, Artiodactyla, Cervidae. The record is from RefSeq and is a predicted model, not a curated record.
AGAUAUUGAGCUCUUGGGCUGUCAGAAUUCCAGUUCAUGAGGCAAUCUAUGUUAUUCUGGUCUAGCCAGGUGGAUUCUUUACUACUGAGCCAUCACGGAAGCCCCUGAACACAAACACCGCUUAAGAAAAUCAUCAAACAACAAGUGAA